GUAGCUCAGUGGUAGAGCGUUCGCUUUGCCUGUGAAAGGCCCUGGGAUCGAUCCCCAAGUUCCUCCA
Molecule: non-coding RNA, 67 nt
Organism: Nephila pilipes (giant wood spider)
Lineage: Eukaryota; Metazoa; Arthropoda; Arachnida; Araneae; Nephilidae
Source: the annotation of a GenBank genome assembly